Molecule: ribosomal RNA, 253 nt
Filed under: uncultured bacterium
Lineage: Bacteria
Description: partial 16S ribosomal RNA
Rfam family: Bacterial small subunit ribosomal RNA
Source: RNAcentral
UACGUAGGGUGCAAGCGUUAAUCGGAAUUACUGGGCGUAAAGCGUGCGCAGGCGGUUUUGUAAGUCAGAUGUGAAAUCCCCGGGCUUAACCUGGGAACUGCGUUUGAAACUACAAGGCUAGAGUGUGACAGAGGGGGGUGGAAUUCCACGUGUAGCAGUGAAAUGCGUAGAGAUGUGGAGGAACACCGAUGGCGAAGGCAGCCCUCUGGGCUGAGAUUGACGCUCAGGCACGAAAGCGUGGGGAGCAAACAGG